This 1337-nucleotide ribosomal RNA is filed under the name metagenome. RNAcentral's name for it is "bacterial LSU rRNA". It matches the Rfam family "Bacterial large subunit ribosomal RNA", at positions 1610 to 2925 of the family's 2925-position model. The record is from RNAcentral.
UAGAAAAGCCCAGCAGCGAGUUGACAUGGUGCCCGUACCCCAAACCAACACAGGUGGACAGGUAGAGCAUACCAAGGCGAGUGGGAUAACUAUGGUUAAGGAACUCGGCAAAUUGCCUCUGUAACUUCGGGAGAAGGAGGACCCCAGUAGCGUGAUGAGACUUGCUCUCUGAGCGUGAAGGGGUGGCACAAAAUUGAGGGAAGCGACUGUUUACCAAAAACACAGCAGCGUGCUAAGCCGUAAGGCGCUGUAUACGCUGUGACUCCUGCCCGGUGCUGGAAGGUUACGGGGAUGGGUUAGUCCUUCGGGACGAAGCUCUGAACCUAAGCCCCAGUAAACGGCGGCCGUAACUAUAACGGUCCUAAGGUAGCGAAAUUCCUUGUCGGGUAAGUUCCGACCUGCACGAAUGGAGUAACGACUUCCCUACUGUCUCAACCAUAGACCCAGCGAAAUUGAAGUACGAGUAAAGAUGCUCGUUAGCUGCAGAAGGACGGAAAGACCCCGUGGACCUUUACUAUAACUUGAUGUUGUGUUUUGUCAUAUGUUGUGUAGGAUAGGUGGGAGACUUGGAAGCAUGGACGCUAGUCUGUGUGGAGUCAUCGUUGAAAUACCACCCUGCAUAUGGUGAGGCUCUAACCUAGACCCGUUAUCCGGGUUGGGGACAGCGUCAGGCGGGUAGUUUAACUGGGGCGGUUGCCUCCUAAAGAGUAACGGAGGCGCCCAAAGGUUCCCUCAGCCUGGUUGGCAAUCAGGCGUUGAGUGCAAUGGCAAAAGGGAGCUUGACUGCGAGACCUACAAAUCGAGCAGGAGCGAAAGCUGGGCAUAGUGAUCCGGCGGUUGCGUGUGGAAGCGCCGUCGCUCAACGGAUAAAAGGUACCCCGGGGAUAACAGGCUAAUCUUGCCCAAGCGUCCAUAGCGACGGCAAGGUUUGGCACCUCGAUGUCGGCUCAUCGCAUCCUGGGGCUGAAGCAGGUCCCAAGGGUUGGGCUGUUCGCCCAUUAAAGCGGUACGCGAGCUGGGUUCAGAACGUCGUGAGACAGUUCGGUCCCUAUCCUCUGCAGCCGGAGGUGAAUUGAGGAAAGCUGUCCCUAGUACGAGAGGACCGGGACGGACGCAGCUCUCGUGUGCCAGUUGUCCUGCCAAGGGCAUGGCUGGUUAGCGACCUGCGGAAAGGAUAACCGCUGAAAGCAUCUAAGCGGGAAGCCUCUUCCAAGAUGAAUUCACCCACAGGGUUAACCUGGUAAGGCCCGUGGUAGACCACCACGUUGAUAGGCCGGAAGUGUAAGCGUGGCAACACGUUCAGCUGACCGGUACUAAUCGGCCGAGGGCUUGAGUUG